Long non-coding RNA from Odontomachus brunneus, 299 nucleotides. RefSeq lists it as uncharacterized. The transcript is spliced from 3 exons. The record is from RefSeq and is a predicted model, not a curated record. Lineage: Eukaryota; Metazoa; Arthropoda; Insecta; Hymenoptera; Formicidae.
UCGACUUCGGGUCGAUACAAUGCGAAGGAUGACGCGGCAGUUUACCGAAAGUUCGUUGAGUAAACGUGAAGGAAUUUAGAGAUGGUUCUCGCUGGAUUUUCGGAAAAAUGUUGCCUAUUUCUUGCACUAACUUGAAUCAUCGCCAAUUCAAAGCCGGCCACAUUCUGUUUUCAAAUCUGGAACAAAAAAUAUAAUUUUGUUGAUUAGGUUUAAGUGUUUGAUUUAAUGAACAAGAGAAUGGAGAUAGACUUUUAACUAUAAAGAGUUAGUUAAAGGAGAAGUACGAAGAAAAUCGGCAA